CAGGUCUUGACAUCCCUUUGACCGGUCUAGAGAUAGACCUUUCCUUCGGGACAGAGGAGACAGGUGGUGCAUGGUUGUCGUCAGCUCGUGUCGUGAGAUGUUGGGUUAAGUCCCGCAACGAGCGCAACCCUUAUGCUUAGUUGCCAGCAGGUCAAGCUGGGCACUCUAAGCAGACUGCCGGUGACAAACCGGAGGAAGGUGGGGAUGACGUCAAAUCAUCAUGCCCCUUAUGACCUGGGCUACACACGUACUACAAUGGCCGGUACAACGGGAAGCGAAGCCGCGAGGUGGAGCCAAUCCUAGAAAAGCCGGUCUCAGUUCGGAUUGUAGGCUGCAACUCGCCUACA
RNAcentral lists this ribosomal RNA (347 nucleotides) under uncultured maize rhizosphere bacterium c5_68. RNAcentral's name for it is "bacterial SSU rRNA". It matches the Rfam family "Bacterial small subunit ribosomal RNA", at positions 975 to 1320 of the family's 1533-position model. The record is from RNAcentral.